RNAcentral lists this ribosomal RNA (1202 nucleotides) under uncultured bacterium BD_contig02693. Its description in RNAcentral is "bacterial LSU rRNA". It matches the Rfam family "Bacterial large subunit ribosomal RNA", at positions 1244 to 2463 of the family's 2925-position model. The record is from RNAcentral.
UAUUCGUUGAAGCUGUAGCGUGAGCUAUAGUGGAGUUUAUGGAAACGAAAAUGUAGGCAUGAGUAACGAUAAAACGGGUAAGAAACCCGUUCACCGAUAGACUAAGGUUUCCACGGCAAUGCUAAUCAGCCGUGGGUUAGUCGGGACCUAAGGAAAACCCAAAGGGGGUAUCCGAUGGUAAAUUGGUUAAUAUUCCAAUACCUUUAUUAACUGCGAUGGGGUGACGAAGUAGUGACAUAUCCGCGUACUGACGGAAUAGUACGUUAAAGGGUGUAGAUUAUGAUUUAGUUAAUAGCUUAUUUUUUCGAACCUGACAGUACCAUGACCUUCGGGUGAUUGGAUAGUGAUAGUAAUCAUACUUCCUAGAAAAACCUCUAAGCUUCAGGUUAAUAAAGCCCGUACCCUAAACCGACACAGGUAGUCAAGGAGAGAAUCCUGAGGUGCUCGAGUUAGUCGUGGCUAAGGAACUAGGCAAAUUUACCCCGUAACUUCGGAAUAAGGGGUCCCUAUGCAAGUAGGGCGCAGAGAAAUGGCCCAGGCGACUGUUUAACAAAAACAUAUGGCUUUGCUAAAUUGAAAGAUGAUGUAUAAGGCCUGACACCUGCCCGGUGCCGGAAGGUUAAGAGGGGAUGUUAUUCUUUCGGGAGAAGCAUUGAAUUGAAGCCCCAGUAAACGGCGGCCGUAACUAUAACGGUCCUAAGGUAGCGAAAUUCCUUGUCGGGUAAGUUCCGACCUGCACGAAUGGUGUAACGAUCUGGGCACUGUCUCAGCCAUGAGCUCGGUGAAAUUGUAAUACCGGUGAAGAUGCCGGUUACCCGCAACGGGACGGAAAGACCCCGUGAACCUUUACUGCAACUUAGCAUUGAUUUUGGGUAAGUUAUGUGUAGGAUAGGCCGGAGACUAUGAAGUGGUGCCGCCAGGUAUCAUGGAGUCGCCGUUGAAAUACGGCCCUUGACUUGCCUGAAGUCUAAUCCCUCAGAGAGAGGGAGACAUUGCUUGGUGGGUAGUUUGACUGGGGUGGUCGCCUCCAAAAGAGUAACGGAGGCUCCCAAAGGUACCCUCAUGACGUUUGGCAAUCGUCAGUAGAGUGUAAUGGCACAAGGGUGCUUGACUGUGAGACCGACAAGUCGAACAGGUAGGAAACUAGGGCAUAGUGAUCCGGUGGUUCCGCAUGGAAGGGCCAUCGCUCAAAGGAUAAAAGG